UUUGAGAGAAGGGAUGACACAGUAGGAUAAGCUAAGCACACUGUUGGUUAUGUGUGCCCAAGCAUUGAGGCAGUCAAAGUAGGCAAAUCCGCUUUGAUAAUGCUGGGAUGGGAUGGGGAGCGAAAUUUAGUAGCGAAGUAGCUGAUUUCACACUGUCAAGAAAAGUCUCUAUCGAGGUUAAAGGUACCCGUACCGCAAACCGACACAGGUGGGUGAGGAGAGUAUCCUAAGGCCAGCGAGAGAACUGUUGUUAAGGAAC
RNAcentral lists this ribosomal RNA (259 nucleotides) under Clostridioides difficile. RNAcentral describes it as "partial 23S ribosomal RNA". It matches the Rfam family "Bacterial large subunit ribosomal RNA", at positions 1456 to 1713 of the family's 2925-position model. Lineage: Bacteria; Bacillati; Bacillota; Clostridia; Peptostreptococcales; Peptostreptococcaceae. The record is from RNAcentral.